CUCGACUAAAUAUUCAGCAUCGAGAAGUAAACAAUGCAUUAAUCUAUGCGAGAACAGACAUGAUUAAAGAAGAUUUCAUGGGUAAAAUAGUGAAUAAAUAAAUAAAUAAAUAAAUAAGAUGAAGGAGGAAGAACAGUGCAGCGAGCAGCCAGCAGGUGACACGCAUUGUACAAUUUCCCCAGAAUUCCUCUGCUCUCAACACACACACACACACACACUUCUAUCAGCGAUCUAAAACAAGCACGAGAGAAAAUAGGACUGAUUUAAUCCUCCGACAUCUAUAGAAAUCAGAUGCAAGCUCUGAUGGUGUAAGAUGGCAGACAUACCGGCAAAACACUCCAAGCAAGUAACAUUAACAUUCAUGCGCCAGGUGGCGAGCAAAGUUCUUCACCAAACAAGUGUUAAGUGGGAGGUCAGGGCUAUAAAUAAUACAAAAAUAUCAUCAUAACAACAACAAUGCGUUUUUGAAAUAAUACGCGCGUCUCCAACAAACUACACGACGCAUUUCGUGCACGCUUUAAGAAGCAGCUACCAAUAUAAAUAAAACAAUAUAAAACCAUAUCACAGCUUCAUGUAAACCAGUGUUUUAUAUCAAACUGCCAGUCAGUCAGUCAGGAUGCCUGCGCUCACAGCGAAAUAAACCCUACCGACUGGUGGAGGGGCCACGAAAUAAAUAAAUAAAGCAAUCAAAAGUGUCCAGCAAUUUAUUUACCAAAGUAUCACGCACACAUUCAUCAUCCGAGACUUAACAAGCUUGGCUGCACUUUUGCAACGAGUCAAGUCUUCUGAAAAAUAAAUAAAUAACUAAAUGAAUAAUAUCCUAUCAACUCUUGCAUCCGCUUCGGGAACAUGAUAAAAAAAAUUCCCGAGACAGUCCGUGUUAAAAACGCUCAAGUUUUUUCAAGAAAAUAAUACGAUAUUAGCGAACGUGCUAAUAUGCUAAGUGCUAUUAAGCCAGCUAGCUUAGCAGCGCAGCACAUCCCCAUACAGAGCUAAGCAGCAGCAGCUGGCUAAACCACACACACACAGCUAGCGCUCUGGCUGCUAGCGGGCUAGCAAGCUAGGUGGCUAAAUUAGUCUGUGUUUUAUGACUACUUCCGACAGAUGACUAUCGAUAAUUUAUGAUGAGAAGCACAAGCUUCAGUUCCCAUCGCUCCGCGCACAGAGACUACAGUGAGCAUACACACCUCGCUCGCCAACUCCGCGCGCUCUUCAGAGGACGAGUGACUGCGCUGCUGCCCGGUCGCGUUACUAAACAGACGCCAUUUUGUUACAAUGUUGUAGUUUACAUGAAUCCGACAUGACACUGAUUACAACCCAAUGGAGCCUCAUUAAACCUCGCCUUCUUAUCGACGGGUCCUCCCAAGAAACUUUCAUAUUGGUUAGGAAGGGCAAAUGCCGAUCUCUGGUUUGAUAACAAAAGUGUCAAUCAAGCAGAAGGCGUUCAGCCCCUGGAGAAGUCGAUUGGCUCCAUGAUCUGUCAAUAAUCACUUGACCCGCCUUUUAAGGUGACCACUGUUCCCUGUCUGCGCGUGACAUAUCAAAUGGCACACCUGCAAUUCUCCAGCGUGCGUGCACAAAAUCCGACGUGAAAAUAUCACUCGUGCUCACGUUAUUAUUAUUAUCAUCAUUAUCUAUAUUUAAUCGACCCAAUUAAUCGAUAUUGAACUUAAAAUCACAACAUGCGCGCGUUCUACCUUUAGACAGUCCGCUAUUCAGAAUUAAACUGAAGGCAUUAGCGCACAUCACCAACAGCAAGACAUAUUUCCGAAAUGUAAUGAUCAUGUAGACUAAUUAACCAAAUUGUAGCCUGUCUGGAUGAUUUGUAGCAUGUCUCAUCAGGAUAUAUAGCCCACAAUGUAGUCUAAACUCUGAAAGACGAGUUUGCCUGUAGUGCGCGAGCACGCUGCUUUAAACGCUUUCCUUAUGCACUAUUUUGGACAAGGUUCGAAAUAACAUUUUAAACAUGCACAAUAAAAAGUCAAAGUCCUACGUCGCGAGACGGAUCCGCGUUCAUAUCGGUUCUAAUGCUUUCCGAUCGCCAAAUCAAAAGCGCUUAAAGUGCGCGGUGAUGACUGCGCCCCGCAUCCAGUCUUAAAUCAAACCAAGCACGAGCCUUGAGCUAACGUCCGCUCGCUCACUCGACAUCAAGCUGCUGAGAAUCGGUGCGAUCUGGAACAUUCCGUCUCUGCGUGUCGAGCACUUGAUCGCUGCACUCGAUCAAGUCACAUCACUCACAGCAAGUUGAACGAGCUAAAACAUUUAUGACUAAUUAACAACUCUAAACACAGCUCGGGUAUCGCGGAGCUUAAAGCCAGAACGUUUCCGUUACCUCAAGUUGCUCGACGGUCGCUCCGCUCCCGGCGGAAGCACUUAAUAAACGGGUUUAUUUGAAGCGGAGUAAAAAAAAAUAAUAAUAAUGAAAUAAAUCGCGUAAAGGGGGUCGAUUAAAAUCCAGCGGGUCCCGUUUGAUCCAGCGAAUAAAAAGCGCGGUGGAGGCAGAGGGAACCUGAUAUAACAACUAAUUGAAAGGUUAAUCUACAUGAGAGUGUGUGGCAAAGUAGUACCUCCCCUUUCAGCACUUCCAUCAGCCACAGAGGAGAGAGGACUCGCUGCGAGCGCCAUGUGACAUCACAUCGGUCACUGUAGAAAACAAUGUACAUUACUG
Long non-coding RNA from Ictalurus punctatus (channel catfish), 2668 nucleotides. The record is from Ensembl. NCBI's taxonomy places the organism in Eukaryota, Metazoa, Chordata, Actinopteri, Siluriformes, Ictaluridae.